This 253-nucleotide ribosomal RNA is filed under the name uncultured bacterium. RNAcentral describes it as "partial 16S ribosomal RNA". It matches the Rfam family "Bacterial small subunit ribosomal RNA", at positions 524 to 776 of the family's 1533-position model. The record is from RNAcentral.
UACGUAGGGACCAAGCGUUGUUCGGAUUUACUGGGCGUAAAGCGCACGUAGGCGGCUUUGUAAGUUAGAGGUGAAAGCCCGGGGCUCAACUCCGGAAUUGCCUUUAAGACUGCAUCGCUAGAAUUGUGGAGAGGUAAGUGGAAUUCCGAGUGUAGAGGUGAAAUUCGUAGAUAUUCGGAAGAACACCAGUGGCGAAGGCGACUUACUGGACACAUAUUGACGCUGAGGUGCGAAAGCGUGGGGAGCAAACAGG